Molecule: ribosomal RNA, 253 nt
Filed under: uncultured bacterium
Lineage: Bacteria
Description: partial 16S ribosomal RNA
Rfam family: Bacterial small subunit ribosomal RNA
Source: RNAcentral
UACGUAGGGUGCGAGCGUUGUCCGGAAUUAUUGGGCGUAAAGGGCUCGUAGGCGGUUUGUCGCGUCGGGAGUGAAAACUCAGGGCUUAACCCUGAGCCUGCUUUCGAUACGGGCAGACUAGAGGUAUGCAGGGGAGAACGGAAUUCCUGGUGUAGUGGUGAAAUGCGCAGAUAUCAGGAGGAACACCGGUGGCGAAGGCGGUUCUCUGGGCAUGACCUGACGCUGAGGAGCGAAAGUGUGGGGAGCGAACAGG